Molecule: ribosomal RNA, 496 nt
Filed under: uncultured bacterium
Lineage: Bacteria
Description: partial 16S ribosomal RNA
Rfam family: Bacterial small subunit ribosomal RNA
Source: RNAcentral
GAUGAACGCUGGCGGCGUGCCUAAUACAUGCAAGUCGAGCGAACAGACGAGGAGCUUGCUCCUCUGACGUUAGCGGCGGACGGGUGAGUAACACGUGGAUAACCUACCUAUAAGACUGGGAUAACUUCGGAAAACCGGCGCUAAUACCGGAUAAUAUAUUGCACCGCAUGGUUCAAUAGUGAAAGACGGUUUUGCUGUCACUUAUCGAUGGAUCCGCGCUGUAUUAGGUAGUUGUUAAGGUAACGGCUUACCACGGGAACGGUGCGUUGCCGACGCGAUGGGGGGUACGGGCCCUGUGAAGCUGAGAGGCGGCACUGAGACUGAGGGAAGGCAGAAGCAGCGACUGGAGCGCACGGUGGGGAAGCUUGCAGGAGGAACGGCGGGCGAGUGAAGAAGGUCUGCGUGCGUAAAAACCUGUUACUAGGGAAGAACAAAUGUGGAAGGAACUAUGCACGGAUUGACGGUACCUGGUCAGAAAGCAACGGCUAACUACGUG